RNAcentral lists this ribosomal RNA (1524 nucleotides) under Hypselosoma sp. UCR ENT 00084969. Its description in RNAcentral is "partial large subunit ribosomal RNA". It matches the Rfam family "Eukaryotic large subunit ribosomal RNA", at positions 330 to 1587 of the family's 3401-position model. Lineage: Eukaryota; Metazoa; Arthropoda; Insecta; Hemiptera; Schizopteridae. The record is from RNAcentral.
GAGACCGAUAGAAAACAAGUACCGUGAGGGAAAGUUGAAAGAACUUUGAAGAGAGAGUUCAAUAGUACGUGAAACCGUUUAGGGGUAAACGGAAAAGAACUAAAAAUCCGAAAAGGGAGAUUCACGUCCACACGUUAUUUUGACUGCAGUGAUUUAUGAUGACUAGUGGAUUGUGCCUUGUGUAUAAUACUGCUAAUUGCAUUUAUCUUGUAUUUCAAGUGACGGUGGACCGCACUUCUCCCUAAGUAGGACGUCGCGACCCGCUAAUUUAUAAUCUAUGUGCAAUUUAAAAGUCUGUUCUGAAUUAAUUUUAUAUUAUUUAGUCAGGUGAUUUGCUUCUGAUUAUAAUUAAUUGGCGGUAUAAAACGACAGUGGUGAGCCGCUUUUAAAGCGUUUAAUUAACUAAUUAGUUGUGUUAGGAUUUGAUAAUAAAUGGUUAUUACCCUUAUUUGAUAUUCUGCCAACUAAUAUUAGUUUUUAUUAAACAGUGUUCACAACACUAGUCAGCGGCGCUACAGUUUUAGUAACUUUUCCGACCCGUCGAAACACAAGGAGUCUAACAUAUGCGCAAGUCAUUGGGUAAUAAAAACCUAAAGGCGUAACAAAAGUAAAAAAACUUUUGCUUUGUUAGGGAGGAUGAAUAUAGACAAUUUGUCUUAUUCCGCACUCCCGGGGCGUCUGUUACUCAUUGCGAGUAAAGGCGCACCUAGAGCGUAUACGUUGGGACCCGAAAGAUGGUGAACUAUGCUUGACCAGGAUGAAGCCAGGGGAAACCCUGGUGGAGGUCCGUAGCGAUUCUGACGUGCAAAUCGAUCGUCAGAGUUAAGUAUAGGGGCGAAAGACCUAUCGAACCAUCUAGUAGCUGGUUCCCUCCGAAGUUUCCCUCAGGAUAGCUGGUGCCAAUGAUGAAACGAGUCUCAUCCGGUAAAGCGAAUGAUUAGAGGCCUUGGGGCCGAAACGACCUCAACCUAUUCUCAAACUUUAAAUGGAUGAGAGCCUUGGCUUGCUUAAAAGUGAAGCCAGGGACUUGGAUCUAGGUGCCAAGUGGGCCAAUUUUGGUAAUGUGGGAUGAACCAAACGCAGAGUUAAGGCGCCCGAAUCGACGCUCAUGAGACACCAUGAAAGGCGUUUGUUGCUUAAGACAGCAGGGCGAUGGUCCUGGAAGUCGAAAUUCGCUAAGGAGUGUGUAACAACUCACCUGCCGAAGCAACUAGCCCUGAAAAUGGAUGGCGCUGUAGCGUCGUGCCUAUACUCUGCCGUCAACGGCAAAUGGGGCUAUCAAUUUAUUGAUAGAGCUAUUAAGCCUUGACGAGUAGGAGGGUCGCGGCGAUGAGCGUCGAAGGGUCUAGGCGUAAGCCUGCCUGGAGCCGUCGCCGGUGCAGAUCUUGGUGGUAGUAGCAAAUACUCCAGCGAGGACCUGGAGGACUGUUGUGGAGAAGGGUUUCUUGUGAACAGCUGUUGCACAAGAGUCAGUCGAUCCUAAGCUCUAAGAGAAAUCUUAUGUCGAUUGGUACCGUUAAUAUA